This is a non-coding RNA of Pelobates cultripes (western spadefoot toad), 289 nucleotides long. The record is from the annotation of a GenBank genome assembly. Lineage: Eukaryota; Metazoa; Chordata; Amphibia; Anura; Pelobatidae.
GGAAAGGACAAUAAGAGACAGAGGAGCUGAGGAAGAUGAACAAGAGACACACAGCUAGGCUAAGGAAAGAGACGAGCUGUGUGGAAAGAGACACACAGAUGUUCUGGGGCCUGGGAAAGACUCACAGAAGGGCUGGGGAAGGGGAGAAAGAGACAAAGGGGCUGAGGCUAAGAAAGGGCGUGGGGGAGAAAGACACAAACAAAAUGCAUCUUCACUUGCGUCUCCGGCUCUCCGUUACUCAGUCGACCGGUGAGAGAAAGACAUUGUAUUAAAGGGACACUAUAGUCAC